Oncorhynchus tshawytscha (Chinook salmon) is the source of this 503-nucleotide long non-coding RNA. Lineage: Eukaryota; Metazoa; Chordata; Actinopteri; Salmoniformes; Salmonidae. The record is from Ensembl.
UAGAGGAGGAGGUAUUAGCAGCAGGGUUGGAGGAGGAGGUAGAAGCAGCAGGGUUGGAGGAGAAGGUAGAAGCAGCAGGGUUGGAGGAGGAGGUAGAAGCAGCAGGGUUGGAGGAGGAGGUAGAAGCAGCAGGGUUGGAGGAGGAGGUAGAAGCAGCAGGGUUGGAGGAGGAGGUAGAAGCAGCAGGGUUGAAGGAGGAGGUAGAAGCAGCAGGGUUGGAGGACGUAGUAGCAGCAGGGUUGGACGGUUGUAGGGAAGGAAGUAGCAGCAGGGUUAGAGGAGGUAGAAGCAGCAGGGUUGGAGGAGGUAGUAGCAGCAGGGUUGAAGGAGGAGGUAGAAGCAGCAGGGCUGGAUGAGGAGGUAGAAGCAGCAGGGUUGGAGGAGGAGGUAGAAGCAGCAGGGUUGGAGGAGGAGGUAGAAGCAGCAGGGCUGGAUGAGGAGGUAGAAGCAGCAGGGCUGGAUGAGGAGGUAGAAGCAGCAGGGCUGGAUGAGGAGGUAGAAGC